UCCACGCCAUGGAAGGUUUGUUCUUUC
RNAcentral lists this non-coding RNA (27 nucleotides) under Homo sapiens (human). Lineage: Eukaryota; Metazoa; Chordata; Mammalia; Primates; Hominidae. The record is from RNAcentral.